CCUACGGGUGGCAGCAGUGAGGAAUAUUGGUCAAUGGGCGAGAUCCUGAACCAGCCAAGCCGCGUGAGGGAAGACGGCCCUAUGGGUUGUAAACCUCUUUUAUCCGAGAACAAAACCCUGGACGUGUCCCUGACUGCAUGUAUCCCAUGAAAAAGCAUCGGCUAACUCCGUGCCAGCAGCCGCGGUAAUACGGAGGGUUCGAGCGUUAUCCGGAUUUAUUGGGUUUACAGGGUGCGUAGGCGGUCCGUUAAGCUAGCGGUAAAAUUUCGGGGCUCAACCCCGGCGAGCCGUGGAAACUGGCAAACUUGAGUUGGCGAGAGGUACGCGGAAGUCGCGGUGUAGCGGUGAAAUGCAUAGAUAUCGCGCAGAACUCCGAUUGCGAAGGCAGCGUACCGGCGCCAUACUGACGCUGAGGCACGAAAGCGUGGGGAUCGAACAGGAUUAGAUACCCUAGUAGUC
This 459-nucleotide ribosomal RNA is filed under the name uncultured bacterium. RNAcentral's name for it is "partial 16S ribosomal RNA". It matches the Rfam family "Bacterial small subunit ribosomal RNA", at positions 338 to 795 of the family's 1533-position model. The record is from RNAcentral.